UACUGAGGACUGUAAGAAACGAGUGGUU
Molecule: non-coding RNA, 28 nt
Filed under: Mus musculus (house mouse)
Lineage: Eukaryota; Metazoa; Chordata; Mammalia; Rodentia; Muridae
Source: RNAcentral